GCCAACAUAGCUCAGUUGGUAGAGCAACUGUUUCGUAAAUAGUAGGUCAAGGGUUCGAGUCCCUUUGUUGGCUCCA
RNAcentral lists this transfer RNA (76 nucleotides) under Herpetosiphonaceae bacterium. Its description in RNAcentral is "tRNA-Thr". It matches the Rfam family "tRNA". Rfam says of the family: Transfer RNA (tRNA) molecules are approximately 80 nucleotides in length. Lineage: Bacteria; Bacillati; Chloroflexota; Chloroflexia; Herpetosiphonales; Herpetosiphonaceae. The record is from RNAcentral.